AGCAGCCGCGGUAAUUCCAGCUCCAAUAGCGUAUAUUAAAGUUGUUGCAGUUAAAAAGCUCGUAGUUGAAUUUCGGGAUCAGUAUGUUGGUCGUGCUUCGGUACGUACUGUCAUUACUGGUUUCUACCUUCUGAAGAACCUUGAUGUCAUUAAUUUGGUGUCUUGGGGAAUCAGGACUGUUACUUUGAAAAAAUUAGAGUGUUUAAAGCAAGCAUACGCUUGAAUACAUUAGCAUGGAAUAAUGAAAUAGGACGUUUGAUUCUAUUUUGUUGGUUUCUAGGAUCGACGUAAUGAUUAAUAGGGAUAGUUGGGGGCAUUAGUAUUCAAUUGUCAGAGGUGAAAUUCUUGGAUUUAUUGAAGACUAACUACUGCGAAAGCAUUUGCCAAGGAUGUUUUCAUUAAUCAAGAACGAAAGUUAGGGGAUCGAAGACGAUCAGAUACCGUCGUAGUCUUAACCAUAAACUAUGCCGACUAGGGAUCGGAUGAUGUUAUUUUAAUGUACUCAUUCGGCGCCUUAAC
RNAcentral lists this ribosomal RNA (519 nucleotides) under uncultured Glomus. RNAcentral's name for it is "SSU rRNA". It matches the Rfam family "Eukaryotic small subunit ribosomal RNA", at positions 569 to 1092 of the family's 1831-position model. The record is from RNAcentral. Lineage: Eukaryota; Fungi; Glomeromycota; Glomeromycetes; Glomerales; Glomeraceae.